ACUCGGCAGACUUCGGAGCGAUGCAAACACCACAGUCACAACAUAACAUUAGGCUGUCUAUGUUGGGCUUGCGAAUAUUUCAUAUAACGGGUCAGCUUGCCAUUGACCGAGACAUCAAAAACCUCAGGGGCCUAACUGGCCCGGCAGCGGCACGGCUGCGCAUAACUGUCUACGUCAUUCCCCGCUCCCCUUAUCCCCCGCAAAGACCUGUCUUGCUACGCUGAGGUCGAACUAACUCACUCGCUCGCUCAUUCAUUGGCUAACGUUGCUGUGCGCCGGUCCGAUAUUCAGUUUUGCUCACCGCAUUGAGCUUGCAUUCCAUUUGUUGAGUCGUCCAGUAUGUUGAAAGAGACCACGAGGUAUCCAAACAACAACAAAACAGAGGGAGACGGCCGCAAUCCAAUCUCGGCCAGCCGAUUACCUGCUGUGGAAGAACUCACCCUUGGCUUAAAGCAAAAACUACACCUGCAGGCGAGAGCUAGAGCAGCCCCGUACUACAUUCGCAAACAAGAACCAGUUGAUUUGGUAGAUAGACUCCUAGAGGAAAGAGCCCUCGUCGCUGAAGCUGUUAGAAGAUUACAAGCUUUACAGGAUCAUCGAUCAGAAGACAAGAAAACGAUGCAUAAGUGCCCUAUAGACUCUUAAUUUUUUAUAAACAAAACAUUUUAGUCUGUGAAAGUGUGGAACGAGUUGUGAAAUCGCUUGUGUGUACGAAUCGUGUCGGGUUACAAUGGUGCUAUAUGCGGAGAGCGUGCGAGAACGAGACGGCGAGCUAUGACGUGUCACGCACGAGUCACGAGAGCGAACCAAAAUGGCCGCCCGGAUUCUACAAUCAUAAUAUUUAUUCUUCGUUUUAUGGUGACCUUAACUGAUCAAAGUACUGAAUGACGUAACUUUUAGUUUAUACUAUUCUAUUAUUCAUUGUAACUUCAUAUUUAUUUGUGAAGAAUACAUGUCACUAGAACAUGUUCUAGCAGUUCUCAGCUAAAAAUAUUACUUAUAUUAAAUAGAGUAUUUGCAAGCUUUAAUUAUAGCUGAAUUAACUACAAUUAUUUUCACUCAAAGUGAAGCAUUAAUCAAAUUUACUUCUAUACUUAAUCAAUAUAUUUAUAUAGUUUAGUUUAAAACAGUGUCCUACGCUUAUAAUUAAGUAACAAAUAUUUUAAAAAACUCAUUUUAUUGUUAAAUUUCCUACCUAUCAAAACCACAUAAUUAAAUUAUGUCAUCAAUUUCAUCGUCAGUCACACAGUCACACCAUAAUAUGAGAAUAAGACUACCUGUGUACACUUUCUGCGUAUAACAACUAUGUAACAUUUUGAUUAGUGUAUAAAUUUGAUCAAAAAAGAAUAUAGAAUAAUACCUUAACUACCUAGUAUAAAAAAUAAUAUUAAACCCAAUUUCCCGCUACUAUUUCAGCACUCUAAAAUAUUUAGUAGGUACAUAAUUUUAUAAUACUUAUUCAUAAUAUGAUUAGGUUUUCUCGCAUAGAUUUAAAAAAGCAUUCUACACAAUGCUAUAUAGUAGAAAAUGUACUAAUAUAAACAGUCAUGCUGUUAGGCAAUUUUAGGCAAUAUAAAGUAUGAAUUUAAUAUACUUACCUAUGUAUAAUUUAGUACAUACAUCGAUGUAAUAGUAACGUACAAUCGUACCGAAUUGGGUAUAAAAAUCAGCAUUGUAUUUCGUAUUACAUGUGUGCAUGUUUUAGUGCAUUUUUUGUGAUUCCUAGAUAGUUUAAUUUAUCGUCGAUCUUGUGAUUUAGAUAAGAAUUACUUACUUAAUAAAAUGAAAUGAAUUUCAAAAAUA
Non-coding RNA from Plutella xylostella (diamondback moth), 1803 nucleotides. The record is from RefSeq and is a predicted model, not a curated record. NCBI's taxonomy places the organism in Eukaryota, Metazoa, Arthropoda, Insecta, Lepidoptera, Plutellidae.